Molecule: ribosomal RNA, 255 nt
Filed under: uncultured Gardnerella sp.
Lineage: Bacteria; Bacillati; Actinomycetota; Actinomycetes; Bifidobacteriales; Bifidobacteriaceae
Description: partial 16S ribosomal RNA
Rfam family: Bacterial small subunit ribosomal RNA
Source: RNAcentral
UAACGGGUGAGUAAUGCGUGACCAACCUGCCCCAUGCUCCAGAAUAGCUCUUGGAAACGGGUGGUAAUGCUGGAUGCUCCAACUUGACGCAUGUCUUGUUGGGAAAGUGUUUAGUGGCAUGGGAUGGGGUCGCGUCCUAUCAGCUUGUAGGCGGGGUAAUGGCCCACCUAGGCUUCGACGGGUAGCCGGCCUGAGAGGGCGGACGGCCACAUUGGGACUGAGAUACGGCCCAGACUCCUACGGGAGGCAGCAGAA